GACGAACGCUGGCGGCGUGCCUAAUACAUGCAAGUAGAACGCCGAAGGAGGAGCUUGCUUCUCCGGAUGAGUUGCGAACGGGUGAGUAACGCGUAGGUAACCUGCCUGGUAGCGGGGGAUAACUAUUGGAAACGAUAGCUAAUACCGCAUAACAGUAGAUGUUGCAUGACAUUUGCUUAAAAGGUGCAAUUGCAUCACUACCAGAUGGACCUGCGUUGUAUUAGCUAGUUGGUGAGGUAACGGCUCACCAAGGCGACGAUACAUAGCCGACCUGAGAGGGUGAUCGGCCACACUGGGACUGAGACACGGCCCAGACUCCUACGGGAGGCAGCAGUAGGGAAUCUUCGGCAAUGGACGGAAGUCUGACCGAGCAACGCCGCGUGAGUGAAGAAGGUUUUCGGAUCGUAAAGCUCUGUUGUAAGAGAAGAACGAGUGUGAGAGUGGAAAGUUCACACUGUGACGGUACCUUACCAGAAAGGGACGGCUAACUACGU
Molecule: ribosomal RNA, 494 nt
Filed under: uncultured bacterium
Lineage: Bacteria
Description: partial 16S ribosomal RNA
Rfam family: Bacterial small subunit ribosomal RNA
Source: RNAcentral